UACGGAGGGGGCGAGCGUUAUUCGGAAUUAUUGGGCGUAAAGGGCGCGUAGGCGGCCUGAUAAGUCAAAGGUGAAAUCCCUCGGCUCAACUGAGGAAUUGCCUUUGAAACUGUCAGGCUUGAGGCCGGGAGGGGGUGGCGGAAUUCCCAGUGUAGCGGUGAAAUGCGUAGAUAUUGGGAGGAACACCAGUGGCGAAGGCGGCCACCUGGACCGGUUCUGACGCUGACUGCGCGAAAGCGUGGGGAGCAAACAGG
Molecule: ribosomal RNA, 254 nt
Filed under: uncultured bacterium
Lineage: Bacteria
Description: partial 16S ribosomal RNA
Rfam family: Bacterial small subunit ribosomal RNA
Source: RNAcentral